This 712-nucleotide non-coding RNA is filed under the name Gossypium hirsutum (cotton). RNAcentral's name for it is "Eukaryotic large subunit ribosomal RNA". It matches the Rfam family "Eukaryotic large subunit ribosomal RNA", at positions 24 to 664 of the family's 3401-position model. Lineage: Eukaryota; Viridiplantae; Streptophyta; Magnoliopsida; Malvales; Malvaceae. The record is from Rfam by way of RNAcentral.
CCCGCUGAGUUUAAGCAUAUCAAUAAGCGGAGGAAAAGAAACUUACCAGGAUUCCCCUAGUAACGACGAGCGAAUCGGGAAAAGCCCAGCUUGAGAAUCAGGCGCCACCGGCGUCUAAAUUGUAGUUUAGAGAAGCGUCCUCAGUGGUGGACUGGGCCCAAGUCCCCUGGAAAGGGGCGCCAGAGAGGGUGAGAGCCCCAUCAUGCCCGGACCUUAUCGCACCACGAGGCGCUGUCUACGAGUCAGGUUGUUUGGGAAUGCAGCCCUAAUCGGGAGGUAAAUUCCGUCCAAGGCUAAAUACGGGCAAGAGACCGAUAGCGAACAAGUACCUCAAGGGAAAGAUGAAAAGGACUUUGAAAAGAGAGUUGGUCGCUUGAUUCGUAACAAGUAAUAAAUAUUUAUAAUGAAGAAAAACCUAGACUAACUAUUAUCACGACGAAAAGGCAAGCGCACCUAUCGAACAAUAGUAUAGUAAUGGCAAGACAGGGAUAUCGUACCUAAGGGAACCAAAAGUACUAGUAAUAACUAUCUUUUAUUAUUUAACCUAGAAAUAAAGAGGGGUUGUUUAUUAAACUAAUUAACUAAACUAAUUAACUAACUAAAGUAAAGUAAAGAGAAAAUUUGGACAAAGACUUGAAGAAAAGUAAUUGAUAAAGACGACACCCAAAGAGGAAUCCACCUAGAUUUCACUUGUUAUCUGACUUUGAACCAG